GCAUGGAUUAGGCAUGCAAGUCGCACGAGAAAUCCGGUUUCGAUCGGAGAGUACAGUGGCGAAAGGGUGAGUAAUACCUAGACAACCUGCCCUUGAGACUGGCACAACCCUCGGAAACGUGGCUAAUUCCAGAUACGUUCCCCCGCUUCAUGGUGGGGGAAGAAAGGUGGGGACCCCCAAAAGGGGCCUACCGCUCAAGGAGGGGUCGAGGCCGUAUCAGCUUGUUGGUGAGGUAACGGCUCACCAAGGCUUCGAUGCGUACGGGGCCUGGGAGGGUGUUCCCGCACACUGGGACUGAGACACUGCCCAGACUCCUACGGGAGGCUGCAGUCGUGAAUCUUCCGCAAUGGGCGCAAGCCUGAUGGAGCGACGCCGCGUGGAGGACGAAUGCCUUCGGGUUGUAAACUCCUGUUGGGGGGUAUGAGGGGGUGGAGUGCUAAUAUCACUUCGCCCUGACGUCAACCCCUGAGGAAGCCACGGCUAAUUCCGUGCCAGCAGCCGCGGUAAUACGGAAGUGGCAAGCGUUGUUCGGAUUCACUGGGCUCAAAGGGCACGCAGGCGGCUGGGUAUGUCCGGUGUGAAAUCCCUCGGCCUAACCGAGGAAUUGCACUGGAAACUGCCUGGCUUGAGGGCAGGAGAGGCGAGUGGAACUCCUGGUGUAGCGGUGAAAUGCGUAGAUAUCAGGAGGAACGCCGGAGGCGAAAGCGACUCGCUGGACUGUCCCUGACGCUGAGGUGCGAAAGCCAGGGGAGCGAACGGGAUUAGAUACCCCGGUAGUCCUGGCUGUAAACGAUGGCCACUAGGUGGGAGAGGUUCCGAUACUGCUCCUGCCGUAGCAAAAGCGUUAAGUGGCCCGCCUGGGG
RNAcentral lists this ribosomal RNA (863 nucleotides) under uncultured Planctomycetota bacterium. Its description in RNAcentral is "bacterial SSU rRNA". It matches the Rfam family "Bacterial small subunit ribosomal RNA", at positions 42 to 878 of the family's 1533-position model. The record is from RNAcentral. Lineage: Bacteria; Pseudomonadati; Planctomycetota.